Molecule: ribosomal RNA, 433 nt
Filed under: uncultured bacterium
Lineage: Bacteria
Description: partial 16S ribosomal RNA
Rfam family: Bacterial small subunit ribosomal RNA
Source: RNAcentral
AACGAACGCUGGCGGCAUGCCUAACACAUGCAAGUCGAACGAGACCUUCGGGUCUAGUGGCGCACGGGUGCGUAACGCGUGGGAAUCUGCCCUUGGGUUCGGAAUAACAGUUGGAAACGACUGCUAAUACCGGAUGAUGACGUAAGUCCAAAGAUUUAUCGCCCAGGGAUGAGCCCGCGUAGGAUUAGCUAGUUGGUGGGGUAAAGGCCUACCAAGGCGACGAUCCUUAGCUGGUCUGAGAGGAUGAUCAGCCACACUGGGACUGAGACACGGCCCAGACUCCUACGGGAGGGAGCAGUGGGGAAUAUUGGACAAUGGGCGAAAGCCUGAUCCAGCAAUGCCGCGUGAGUGAUGAAGGCCUUAGGGUUGUAAAGCUCUUUUACCCGGGAUGAUAAUGACAGUACCGGGAGAAUAAGCCCCGGCUAACUCCGUG